This 5175-nucleotide long non-coding RNA is filed under the name Daucus carota (carrot). Its description in RNAcentral is "long non-coding RNA (DCAR_LNC000909)". Lineage: Eukaryota; Viridiplantae; Streptophyta; Magnoliopsida; Apiales; Apiaceae. The record is from RNAcentral.
ACAACAUUUCAUAAAUUUGAGAAUGCCACCCAAUGCAAUGCUUCAGUAGCUCUUCUUCUGGCCAUGAACAUUCUCUUCUUUUCUCUGGUAAGUUCCUGUGACAUGAGCCCUAGUCCCGAACCCGAACCAGCUCCAGCUCCAGCUCCGCUGGCUCUCAGGACCCGGCCCUUGGUAGGAAAAUGUCCCAAGGACGCCUUGAAAUUAGGUGUUUGUGCUGAUAUCCUCAAGCUAAUAAACGGCGUUGUGGUUGGAGCUCCACCAACACUCCCAUGCUGCAGCCUUCUUAAAGGCCUCGUCAACCUCGAGGCCGCGGUGUGCCUUUGCACUGCCAUAAGAGCCAACCUUCUGGGAAUCAAGCUCAACAUCCCUAUUGCACUCAGCUUAGUUCUUAACAACUGCGGCAAGCAAGUCCCCAAUGGCUACGAAUGUACAUAAUUAAAUUAUCGUUUUACAAGCAAAUAAAACGUGAUCCAAACACACAGUAGUCUGUAUUAUUUUAAGAUGAAAUAAAUAUUCACUAUUUCCAACUUGAGUAGAUAAAUAAUUCGGCAGAUGAUAAUGUUCGUUAUAAUCAGCUCGAAACAAAUUUGUCUCAGGGGAUUGUCAGAGCAUCUUCGAUAAGGGCGUUAACCAUAUAUAUCAAAAUAUACUUUUAUUAAUAAACAAAGUAUCGGAAUUAUCAAAUAUCAAAAUAUAAAACUUGGUACAUUAUAUGAAACAUCAAAAGUACCAGUAUCAAAAAAAAUUAUCAUCAUAUGAAUAUUUAAAAUAAUUUAUGAAAUUAUACUUCAUAUAUAGGAGCUGUGCCCAACUUAUAAUAAAUAGCUGAGGGGAUGGAGAGAGGAUUAAUCUUGAUGGUUCAGCCAGACUUUAGUCGGAAUGCCUCCUCUAUUUCCGCCCAACUUAAAAGCCAUAUAUAGAUUUUAUUUUAUUCUAUCAAUACUCCCCCUACUUUCAGUGUUUUAUGUAUUUCCAGUUUGCUUUGCUGCUUAUGUGGAAGGCAUAGUAAUCCUGGUAAGGAUUUCUGCUCACAAUACCCAAUGAACGAUUUUAUCUACAAUUGAAAAAAAAAAUGCAAACCAGAGACUAUGCGGCCGUUUGUUUAAAAGAAGCAAAAGUUACUUUUAGGUUCUGUUUUUUUUACCCGUUUGUGUAAAUAAGCAUAAACACCUUUAAAAAGUUGAGAAUGCUAGCUUUAGAGGGUGUUUGGUCCGGGCUUUUAAGCCCGGCUUUUAGAUUUAUAAGGUAGAAGCACUUAUUCGUACCUUUUGUGUAAAAAGUCAAGAAGUACUUAUAAAAAACUGAGAAUACUAGAUUUUGUUUCAUGGCUUCUACUUCUUUCCCAAACACUUUAAUCACUUAUAAGUUAACCUCCUUAUAACUUCUAUUUUACUUUUAAUUACUUUAAGCAAGAAGCACUUGUUUUAAACUCACCCAAACACCCCCAGCUUAGUUUCUCAGCUUCUACUUCUUUUCAAAAUAUUUUAUUAACUUACUUAUUUCUCACUUAUAAUUCACUUCUUUAUUUUAAACAAGAACUCAAUUUUUUUAAGUUGCUCAAACAAUCACUUAAAAUUCUUUUAGGUUUGCCCAAACAACAUCUGUUUUUCCUCUAAUUCAGUUCACGGGACAUCAAUUAUUGAUAUGUGUGACAAGAACAUGUCAAGUUGUUUAUGUAUUAUUCACUCAUAUAGCCUCCAAAAAUUUCUCUAUAUUUAAUGUGCAUGACAGCUCAAUUUCACAAACUUAUCACAGAAAACUCCUAUAAAUUCAGCACUAAUCACAAUCCUUUCCAUCACAACAUAAACACACUCUUCUAGGCAUUAACAAUACCCCUCAUUAGCCUUUCUGCAGUUUGAGAGAUGGGUUCCAAGAACAGUGCUUCAAUAGCUCUCUUUUUCACCCUCAACAUUCUCUUCUUUGCCUUGGUCAGUUCCACUGAAAAAUGCCCUGAUCCUUAUAAGCCUAAGCCCAAGCCCACUCCCAAGCCAACUCCCACUCCUUAUCCAUCUGCAGGAAAAUGCCCUAAGGAUGCCCUAAAAUUAGGUGUUUGUGCUGAUGUCCUCAACUUGGUGCACAAUGUUGUGAUUGGAUCUCCACCAACACUCCCAUGCUGCAGCCUUCUUGAAGGCCUCGUCAACCUCGAGGCCGCGGUAUGCCUUUGCACAGCCAUUAAAGCCAACGUUCUGGGGAUCCAUCUCAAUCUUCCUAUUGCCCUCAGCUUAGUUCUAAACAACUGCGGCAAGCAAGUCCCAAAUGGCUUCGAAUGUACCUAAAUUUCUAGUGUGACAGAAGGAUCCUGAUGUGCUUUCUGGGGAUUUUGUUCUUUGUGUUUUUGAUUUAUUGUAAAGUGUGCUGUUUUUUGAUUGCAGUAUUGUUGGCUUAACAAUAUAUUCAUUUAUUUUUCUUUUAUGAAGUGAUUUAAUGGAAAAAAUUGUUUUGAGUUCGGUCACCUUAGAUUAGUUUGUGGCUUAUGGCUUGGUCAUGAAUACUUUAAUACUCCUCCGUCCCACAAUACAAGUCUCUUUUGAAAAAAUUACGCAUGUUGCAUUGGAAACUAGAAGUGAACAAGUAUUAUGAGAAAAAAUUUCUUCUAAAAGAGACUAGUAUUGUGGGACGGAGGGAGUACAUGAGUGUCAGAGAGAGUAAACUUUUAAGCGUGGUUAAAAUUUUUCAAACUCCGAAAAAUUACGCAUGUUGCAUUGGAAACUAGAAGUGAACAAGUAUUAUGAGAAAAAAUUUCUUCUAAAAGAGACUAGUAUUGUGGGACGGAGGGAGUACAUGAGUGUCAGAGAGAGUAAACUUUUAAGCGUGGUUAAAAUUUUUCAAACUCCGUGAAAAAAGUCUGAAAGACUAGGUAUCUAAAUGGUGGUGAGUAGUGUGCUAAAUUUACAAAAUUGGGAAAGAAAUUUUUAUAUAAAAUGACAUGAUAUAAUUGAGGUGAUAUGUUUUAAUUCGUGUUAUUUAUGUGAAUAUCGGAUUCUAUUUCAAUCAAAAGUUAACAGGUUUCAUCUUUUAAAAGAUUUUGUACCCAUUUUUGUAUACGUAAUAUUUUUCUACUUUUUAAUAUUAAACCUAAUGGCUCAUCUUGCUAAUUGUCCGAAGACAUUUUCUUUUCUUCAACUAAUAUAAUUAAGAAAUUCGGGAAAAUAAUUUUAGUUCUUAUGAUACAAAUCUAAAAAUAUUAAAAAGAGAUCAUGCACUUGCGAUAUCUUAAAAUUAUAUUUUUCGCACAUGGACUAAAAUUCUAAAGUUAAAACUUAACGUACCAAAGUAGUGACUAACUCAAAUUUUAUUAUUUGAAUUUAAUGAUAUAAAAUAAGAAAAACUAUUAUUUUUUGGGCCCCUCUUGGAAAUAUUUAAAUUCCCCUAAAAUGAGUUUUUCUCGGGGAGGGUUUGUCGCCAGCAAUCCUGACUACCUUACAGACGACUAAUCAAAUAUAUCUGUACGCACCUAGUUCUCUAUUCGGUGUUAAUGAUGCCCGUGACAAUGCUAGAGUCAAGAAUGAAUACAGAAAUACCCUCAUAAACGGACCAGAUGAAUGUGGAUAAAUUACAAAUAAAAGAAUCCUGAAAUAUUUGUCAGGGGCAGUCUAAAAUAUAUGUCGGAAAAUAUAAUCAUAAUAACUAGCACAUCUAAAAUUUGAAGGUGUUAGAGGAAGGCUCAACAAGAUCUUAUGCUCUUUUCCUAGUGCAGCAUCGAUCAGUAGGACUAGGGGUCGUUUUUACUAAUUUAAACACCUAAAAAUGAAAGAAAUCUGAAAAAAUUUAACUUCUGACGGUAAGAUGAUGCAUGAAACAACAGAACGAAACAGAUGUAAACUAUAUAAUAUGGUUGAUUUCGGUUUGCUUGAUCCAUAUCAUACAAUUUUUUGAAAAAAAGCGAGAACUCACUACUAGAUAUAUUGCAUUAGACCUCGAUUAUUAAUCAAACGGAUGUCUUCGCAUGUGCAGAGAAAAGUAAGGGUAUAUGACAUCGGUUUUUAGCCGAUGUUAAAGGGGAAGGAACAUAGACAAGGGUUUGCUUAUGAAAACUGAUGUAUUUAACUCAUAUUUCUAAUUAUAUUGUAAAACUAAAUAUGAAAUCUUUCUACAUUAGUAGGUUAAGGAGCAUUAUAAACAUAUAUAAUACGGAAGAAUAUUAGACUCAUGCAUAGAUCAGAAUUGUUGUCAUUAUGAACAUGUCAAAACAUACUACAAACAAAGCUAUGUUAAAUCAUGAGAUAAAGAGCAAGCCAUGUUAAAAAACCAGGCUUUUACAUCAAUCGAGAACCUAACACUCUUAGAACUAUUUUCUCAAUGCCAAAUCCAAUCAAUAAUACCCCCCUUAUUAUUUCAUUAAGUACUUAUUCACUUCAAUAAGUUGUUUAUAAAUCAGACUAUGCUUCCUCUAUAUCAGUUCACGGGACAUCAAUUAUUGAUCAUAUGUGACAAGAACAUGCCAAGUUGUUCAUGUAUUAUUCACUCAUAUAGCCUCCAAAAAUAUCUCUUCAUUUAAUGUGCUUGACAGCUCAAUUUCACGAACUUAUCACACAGAAACCCCCUAUAAAUUCAUCACUAAUCACAAUCCUUUCCAUUACAACAUAAACACUCUUCUAAGCCUCUGAUCAACAAUAGUUCUCAUUAGUCUUUGAGUUUGAGAGAUGGGGUCCAAGAACAGUGCUUCAGUAGCUCUCUUUCUCACCCUUAACAUUCUCUUCUUUGCAUUGGUGAGUUCCACUGAAAAAUGCCCUGAUCCUUAUAAGCCUAAGCCCAAGCCCACUCCCAAACCAACUCCCACUCCUUAUCCAUCUGCAGGAAAAUGCCCUAGAGAUGCCCUAAAGUUAGGUGUCUGUGCUGAUGUCCUCAACUUGGUGCACAAUGUUGUGAUUGGAUCUCCACCAACACUCCCAUGCUGCAGCCUUCUUGAAGGCCUCGUCAACCUCGAGGCCGCGGUAUGCCUUUGCACUGCCAUUAAAGCUAACAUAUUGGGAAAGAACCUCAAUCUUCCUAUUGCCCUUAGCUUAGUUCUUAACAACUGCGGCAAGCAAGUUCCAAAUGGCUUCGAAUGUACCUAAAAUUUCUAGUGUGAGAGAAGGAUCAUGAUGUGCUUUCUGGAUUUUGUUCUUUGUGUUUUUGAUUAUUGUAAAGUGUGCUGUUUCUGAUUGCAGUAUUGUUGGCUUAACAAUAUAUUAA